UUUUCCCCAUUCUUCCAAACAGUUGCACAAUUUGCCAACCGUCAGCCGCGUAUGCAAAUAGAGGCGUCACGUAAGAGUUGAGUCAAGUCAGCCACAGAGACCUCAUUGACUGAGGUUACUGUGCAGCAUGUUCUUCGUUUUUUUUUUCAUUCUCAGAGAAAGAGAAUCCACCUAGCGCCGCAAGUGUCGUUGCGACCCCAAGCCGUUUCUGAGUAUCUCAAAAGUCCCCCCGUUUUGCUCUCACCAA
Molecule: non-coding RNA, 247 nt
Organism: Caenorhabditis elegans
Lineage: Eukaryota; Metazoa; Nematoda; Chromadorea; Rhabditida; Rhabditidae
Source: Ensembl